UUAUCAGACUUGUUACAAGGUUGUUCUAACCGGUCUGAUACAGUCAUGAUAUAACAAGAAUGUUACAAGGUUGACGACACAAGGUUGUAACAAUCUUCCGAUCUAUAUCACGACUGUAUCGGACUUGUUGGAACAACCUUGCAACAAAUCUGAUAA
Non-coding RNA from Paramuricea clavata, 156 nucleotides. Lineage: Eukaryota; Metazoa; Cnidaria; Anthozoa; Malacalcyonacea; Plexauridae. The record is from the annotation of a GenBank genome assembly.